This 279-nucleotide unclassified non-coding RNA is filed under the name Hevea brasiliensis (rubber tree). The record is from RNAcentral. Lineage: Eukaryota; Viridiplantae; Streptophyta; Magnoliopsida; Malpighiales; Euphorbiaceae.
UGGCAGUCGUCCUAUGAGGCAGCAAACACUUCUGUUAUUGGUAGGGCAGCUCUUCUUCGGAAAGUAGCUGGCAAUGUAGAAAAGAACCUCACCAUAUUAGGUGCCUCUGGUAUUGAAGAUAAAUUGCAGGAAGGUGUACCAGAAGCUAUUGAGUCCUUAAGAGUGGCAGGCAUUAAAGUUUGGGUUUUGACUGGGGACAAGCAAGAGACUGCAAUUUCAAUUGGCUAUUCCUCGAAACUUUUAACGAACAGUAUGACUCAGAUUGUGAUAAAUAACAAA